GAAUCGUCACCAUACAACCAGGAAGCAGAAUGUCUACGGUCCACAUACCAUUCCUUCCACAUCGAUGAGAAUCACCAGCCGUCCAAAUACUCCAGUUCCCGUUCAUCAAAACGGCGAACCACCAGGAAGAUGAACCCCGGAAUUCGAAAGUGCCGUCCUCCUCCCUCCGGCAUCCCGUUGCGCACCUCAUCCGACUUCUCAAACGAAGAAAAUAAUAAAAAGCAAAAAAAAAGUACAAAAAAGCGCCACCACCACCGUUACCGACGAGCGACAUCCUACGCCUCCCUCCAGAAGCCGGGAUCCAGAUCCACACCACAAGAAACGGACGACGAGGAGCGAAAAGAGAUCAAAUCCAAUCCCAUUCCCUUCGAUUACUUGAUUUCUUGGCGACGACCAAGAAGGUAAGAAAGAAAGAGCUAUGCAAGGGCGGCCGCCGCUGAGCCGGACGGCGAGCUUCCGGGCGGAGAGUCUGGGUCAGAUCGUGCUCCAACUCGUGGGCAACCUCGGCUUCGCCAUCUUCGUCCUCGGCGUCCUCGCAUUCACCAUCAUCGCCGCCACCUACCACCCCGACGACCCCCUCCUCCACGCCUCCUCCAAGCUCACCUCCUUCCUUACAUCCACCUCCUCCGCCACCUUCCGCUCCGAUGACUCCGUCCUCCGCACCGGCGAGGACUUCCUCAACGCCUCCGCUGGCUCCAACGACGACUCCUCCACUGCCAUCCGCCUCUCCGACGUUUCGACCACCGCCGCUGGCGACUGCGACGACAAGGGCGGCCCCAUCGCCUGCAAGGAGCCGGAGGUCUACCACGUCAUGAUGCACGCUGCCAUCGAGACCUUCCGCAACAACCACUUCUACCGCUUCGGCAAGCCCGUCCCCGGCGCCGGCGACGGACGCACCUGCGACAUGGCCUGGCGCUUCCGCCCUAAGGACGCCAAGCGCGCCGCCUUCUACAAGGACUACCGCCGCUUCGAGCUCGCCCGCGGCCCCAACUGCACCUACUCUAUCGUCAAGAUUGGCGACUACCAUUCCGGUGUCAACGCUCGCAAGAAGAAGAACAAGCUCAAGGGCGGCCCCUCCACGGCCACCCUCUCGUCCUCCUCCGCCGACGAAUCCGAUCCCAGGAAGGGCGAGAAGCCCCUGGUUGUUCCGGUCGUCGGCGAGGACGUGAACGACACCCUCCCGGUGGUGGAGUCCGAGGGCAAGUUCAGCGCCGGCAAGUACCUCAUCUAUACUGGCGGCGGCGACCGCUGCAAGCCCAUGAACCACUACCUCUGGAGCUUCCUUUGUGCCCUGGGAGAAGCCCAGUACCUGAACCGAACCCUCGUCAUGGAUCUCAGCAUCUGCCUCAAUUCGAUGUACACUUCCACGAAUCAAGACGAGGAGGGCAAGGAUUUCCGGUUCUACUUCGAUUUCGAGCACUUGAGGGACUCGGCAUCGGUCCUUGACGAGCGCCAGUUCUGGAAAGACUGGGCCUUGUGGCAGAAGAAGGACCGGCUGGGCCUCCACCUGGUGGAGAACUUCAAAAUCACGCCCAUGAAGCUGGCCGAGGUGAAGGACGCCCUCAUCAUGAGGAAGUUCGGUGCUGUCGAGCCUGACAACUACUGGUACAGGGUCUGUGAGGGGGAAACAGAGUCGGUGAUCCAGAGGCCAUGGAACCUCAUUUGGAAAUCUCGCCGCUUGAUGGAUAUUGUCUCCGGUAUUGCCUCAAAGAUGAACUGGGACUUUGAUUCGGUUCAUGUUGUCAGAGGAGAGAAGGCAAGGAACACCGAGCUCUGGCCCAAUUUAGCAAGGGACACAUCCCCUGAGGCUCUCGUGUCGACACUGGGGGAGAAGAUUGAUGAUGGGAGGCACCUUUAUGUUGCUACAAAUGAGCCUGAUACCUCCUUCUUUGAUCCAUUGAAGGAUAAGUAUCCAGUUCAUUUCCUUGACGAUUUCAAGGACUUGUGGGGUGAGAACAGUGAGUGGUAUACAGAGACCCAGAGCCUCAACAAUGGGAUUCCGGUGGAGUUUGAUGGCUACAUGAGGGUGGAGGUGGACACUGAAGUGUUCCUGAGGGGCAAGAAGCAGAUUGAGACAUUCAAUGAUCUCACAAGUGAUUGCAAAGAUGGGAUUAAUACCUGUCGCACAGAUUCCUGAACAAUCGAUGGGUUCACUUGGUAGGUGGGAUGUCAAUUUGGCAAAGAUAUUCAGAGGGAAGGGAAAGAGAUCAGGAGGCUGAUUCUUUGGCCAGCAUUCCUUCUCACAACAAGAUAUUGAGCUAUGCUGAAAUGUUACCAAAAAUAAAAAAGCUAUGCUGAAAGAUCUGAGACUCUGCAACACAGCAGGAUGUUCCAGCAAUCAGAGUUAUCCCAGCAGAACUUGCUCUGUUUGGAUAGCUGGCGUAUCGACUUGGGAAGGUUGUGAGGCAGCUGAGGCUUGUAUAGCCAUGAAAAAUUUGCAAACCUAGUGCUCUUUAUUCUUCACCUCUAAUACUCUUUUGGUUGUCAUAUAUGAUUUUCUUUGCCAAAAUCAACAUGAAUAGAAACUGCCUUGAUAUCUAAAUUGGUUAACUCUAAGAUCAAUGCAUGUAGCUAGCUUUAUUAGAUGUUAUGCCUAGCUUUUGUCACCAUAUAAAGGGCAAAAAUAUAAUUAGACCAAUGUCUUUUAAGUUUGGAUUUUUGCCAGCUUUUAUAAGGAUCGAACUUCAUCGGCAGGGGAUCUGUCUUCAAUAAAUCAGAUUUGAAGAAAGAGGAACUUGAAAACCUAGAACCUUUCUUACUCCUUUGAUAAAUCGUGUGUUAAGGUGUGCUGGCCCUCUUCCUCAUGAAGAAGAAGAUCUUGCAGUGCUAUUUCCAUCGCAACAUGCUCUCCUGUAGCACAUAAAGAUAGACUUGCUGCGCUGAUCUAGGAAAAGAACUUCAAAUGAAAGAACUCUCAUAAAGAAAUGAAGGAAGGUGGAUGGGAGCAUUUUACCCCUUGAUGUCAUGGCUGAUAUUCUUCAACAGCUACCUAUGACGAUGAUCAUAAAGUUCAGUUGAACAUCGCAAUUUACAUCAUGCAUAAACUCAUUGCUGAAGGGCACGCGUUCUUCAAAAGCCAACUGUAGUUUGUGGGCUUACACAGGUCUGGUCCAUCAUGCUUCCGUCUAUAGCAAUUAGCUGGGUCACCUCCCGUCCCUUUCCCAGCACCCUCAGCUUCGGCGGACAGAUAGUAUUCACAUGCAAGCCCCCAUGCUGCAAUGCAACGUGCCCAGUGGCUGGACAGAAACUGGCACAUUGAAGCUGAGAGUGAGAUUCAAUGCAUAUCUAUCCCGGUCAUGGCCAAACCCUUUCAAGAAUACCACCAAAGUGACUGGUGAUAACGGUGGCAGAUCCUUGUAAUAUGGGUUGCCGGUCUUACAGCUCCCUGUUUGGCAUGCCAGCCGCCUUUUGCCAUUGCCAGUGCACUUUGUGCGUGCCCUUAUAAAUCUAGACCACUCAGGCUGGAUAAGCAAGGUUCUCCACAUGCUGCUUUUUAGCUUGCAUCCAGUCAAGUUCUUCAGUAGCCAAGGAUGGUCCGGACUGUCCAGAAUUUUAGCUGUGAGACUAGUAUUUCAAGUUUCUAACCUCCAACGAGGAAAACAAAGAAGAUAGAUGACCAUAUCUUUUGCAUCCAUUAUGCGGAGGCUUCUUGUGAUUCGUAUGCUGAUUGAGAGGGUUUUGUGGGAGUUUGAUCUCUGAAUUGCAAUUUAAAGAAUAGAGAGGGUAGGGUUGUCCAAGGUGGAAAAGGAGAGUAUUCCAGAGGUUACCUUAUUGUGAGUCAGAGUAAGAAUAUUAUUGCUGUCACAUUAAAUAAAGCAAAGCUUUGGGUGGAUCAUUUUUUGGGAUGUAUCCUGUAGCAUAGCUCAUGUCUCAUGCACCUAGACUCCU
Non-coding RNA from Elaeis guineensis (African oil palm), 3888 nucleotides. The record is from RefSeq and is a predicted model, not a curated record. Lineage: Eukaryota; Viridiplantae; Streptophyta; Magnoliopsida; Arecales; Arecaceae.